RNAcentral lists this ribosomal RNA (495 nucleotides) under uncultured bacterium. RNAcentral describes it as "partial 16S ribosomal RNA". It matches the Rfam family "Bacterial small subunit ribosomal RNA", at positions 28 to 507 of the family's 1533-position model. The record is from RNAcentral.
GACGAACGCUGGCGGCGUGCCUAAUACAUGCAAGUAGAACGCUGAAGGAGGAGCUUGCUUCUCUGGAUGAGUUGCGAACGGGUGAGUAACGCGUAGGUAACCUGCCUGGUAGCGGGGGAUAACUAUUGGAAACGAUAGCUAAUACCGCAUAAUAGUAGAUGUUGCAUGACAUUUGCUUAAAAGGUGCAAUUGCAUCACUACCAGAUGGACCUGCGUUGUAUUAGCUAGUUGGUGGGGUAACGGCUCACCAAGGUGACGAUACAUAGCCGACCUGAGAGGGUGAUCGGCCAAACUGGGAAUGAGACACGGCCCAGAAUCCUACGGGAAGCAGCAGUAGGGAAUCUUCGGCAAUGGACGGAAGUCUGACCGAGCAACGCCGCGUGAGUGAAGAAGGGUUUCGGAUCGUAAAGCUCUGUUGUAAGAGAAGAACGAGUGUGAGAGUGGAAAGUUCACACUGUGACGGUAUCUUAACAGAAAGGGACGGCUAACUACGUG